GUGGGGAAUCUUGCGCAAUGGGCGAAAGCCUGACGCAGCCAUGCCGCGUGGAUGAUGAAGGUCUUAGGAUUGUAAAAUCCUUUCACCGGUGAAGAUAAUGACUGUAGCCGGAGAAGAAGCCCCGGCUCACUUCGUGCCAGCAGCCGCGGUAAUACGAAGGGGGCUAGCGUUGCUCGGAUUUACUGGGCGUAAAGGGCGCGUAGGCGGACAUUUAAGUCAGGGGUGAAAUCCCGGGGCUCAACCUCGGAACUGCCUUUGAUACUGGGUGUCUUGAGUAUGAGAGAGGUGUGUGGAACUCCGAGUGUAGAGGUGAAAUUCGUAGAUAUUCGGAAGAACACCAGUGGCGAAGGCGACACACUGGCUCAUUACUGACGCUGAGGCGCGAAAGCGUGGGGAGCAAACAGGAUUAGAUACCCGUGUAGUCC
RNAcentral lists this ribosomal RNA (425 nucleotides) under uncultured bacterium. Its description in RNAcentral is "partial 16S ribosomal RNA". It matches the Rfam family "Bacterial small subunit ribosomal RNA", at positions 354 to 796 of the family's 1533-position model. The record is from RNAcentral.